GGGGUAUUCGUCAUUACAAAACCUGACCCUAGGACAAGCAAAAUUUGCUUACAUAAAAGACUAAGGAAUGAAGUCUGGCGCCUGUUGAUGGUGCAACAGAUAUUAACCCCCACGUGACAGGGAAAAACCAGUCAUCAGGACUGGAGAGAGUGGA
Long non-coding RNA from Spea bombifrons (plains spadefoot toad), 154 nucleotides. RefSeq lists it as uncharacterized. The record is from RefSeq and is a predicted model, not a curated record. The transcript has 2 exons. Lineage: Eukaryota; Metazoa; Chordata; Amphibia; Anura; Pelobatidae.